Molecule: non-coding RNA, 25 nt
Filed under: Drosophila erecta
Lineage: Eukaryota; Metazoa; Arthropoda; Insecta; Diptera; Drosophilidae
Also listed under: 1 other name
Source: RNAcentral
UACACAUUGAGGCACAUAGGAAGAA